UCGGAUUGCAGGCUGCAACCCGCCUGCAUGAAGUUGGAAUCGCUAGUAAUCGCGGAUCAGCAUGCCGCGGUGAAUACGUUCCCGGGCCUUGUACACACCGCCCGUCACACCAUGAGAGUCGGGAACACCCGAAGUCCGUAGCCUGACCGCAAGGGGGCGCGGCCGAAGGUGGGUUCGAUAAUUGGGGUGAAGUCGUAACAAGGUAGC
RNAcentral lists this ribosomal RNA (207 nucleotides) under uncultured bacterium. Its description in RNAcentral is "partial 16S ribosomal RNA". It matches the Rfam family "Bacterial small subunit ribosomal RNA", at positions 1293 to 1500 of the family's 1533-position model. The record is from RNAcentral.